This 538-nucleotide ribosomal RNA is filed under the name Chaetomium sp. 4 DP-2014. RNAcentral describes it as "eukaryotic LSU rRNA". The stretch from base 188 to 341 matches the Rfam family "5.8S ribosomal RNA". Lineage: Eukaryota; Fungi; Ascomycota; Sordariomycetes; Sordariales; Chaetomiaceae. The record is from RNAcentral.
GAGGGAUCAUUACAGAGUUGCAAAACUCCCUAAACCAUUGUGAACGUUACCUAUACCGUUGCUUCGGCGGGCGGCCUCGGGGUUUACCCCCCGGGCGUCCCUGGGCCCCACCGCGGGCGCCCGCCGGAGGUCACCAAACUCUUGAUAAUUUAUGGCCUCUCUGAGUCUUCUGUACUGAAUAAGUCAAAACUUUCAACAACGGAUCUCUUGGUUCUGGCAUCGAUGAAGAACGCAGCGAAAUGCGAUAAGUAAUGUGAAUUGCAGAAUUCAGUGAAUCAUCGAAUCUUUGAACGCACAUUGCGCCCGCCAGUAUUCUGGCGGGCAUGCCUGUUCGAGCGUCAUUUCAACCAUCAAGCCCCCGGGCUUGUGUUGGGGACCUGCGGCUGCCGCAGGCCCUGAAAAGCAGUGGCGGGCUCGCUGUCGCACCGAGCGUAGUAGCAUACAUCUCGCUCUGGUCGCGCCGCGGGUUCCGGCCGUUAAACCACCUUUUAACCCAAGGUUGACCUCGGAUCAGGUAGGAAGACCCGCUGAACUUAAG